This 432-nucleotide ribosomal RNA is filed under the name uncultured bacterium. Its description in RNAcentral is "partial 16S ribosomal RNA". It matches the Rfam family "Bacterial small subunit ribosomal RNA", at positions 29 to 507 of the family's 1533-position model. The record is from RNAcentral.
ACGAACGCUGGCGGCAUGCCUAACACCUGCAAGUCGAACGAGACCUUCGGGUCUAGUGGCGCACGGGUGCGUAACGCGUGGGAACCUGCCCUUAGGUUCGGAAUAACUCCCCGAAAGGGGUGCUAAUACCGGAUAAUGUCUUCGGACCAAAGAUUUAUCGCCUUUGGAUGGGCCCGCGUUGGAUUAGCUAGUUGGUAGGGUAAAAGCCUACCAAGGCGACGAUCCAUAGCUGGUCUGAGAGGAUGAUCAGCCACACUGGGACUGAGACACGGCCCAGACUCCUACGGGAGGCAGCAGUGGGGAAUAUUGGACAAUGGGCGAAAGCCUGAUCCAGCAAUGCCGCGUGAGUGAUGAAGGCCUUAGGGUUGUAAAGCUCUUUUACCCGGGAUGAUAAUGACAGUACCGGGAGAAUAAGCUCCGGCUAACUCCGCG